GUGUCAGCCGCCGCGGUAAUACGAAGGGGGCUAGCGUUGUUCGGAAUGACUGGGCGUAAAGCGCACGUAGGCGGACAUUUAAGUCAGGGGUGAAAUCCCGGGGCUCAACCUCGGAACUGCCUUUGAUACUGGGUGUCUGGAGUGUGGAAGAGGUGAGUGGAAUUCCGAGUGUAGAGGUGAAAUUCGUAGAUAUUCGGAGGAACACCAGUGGCGAAGGCGGCUCACUGGUCCACAACUGACGCUGAGGUGCGAAAGCGUGGGGAGCAAACAGGAUUAGAUACCCUUGUAGUCC
RNAcentral lists this ribosomal RNA (292 nucleotides) under uncultured bacterium. RNAcentral describes it as "partial 16S ribosomal RNA". It matches the Rfam family "Bacterial small subunit ribosomal RNA", at positions 505 to 796 of the family's 1533-position model. The record is from RNAcentral.